Molecule: ribosomal RNA, 459 nt
Filed under: uncultured bacterium
Lineage: Bacteria
Description: partial 16S ribosomal RNA
Rfam family: Bacterial small subunit ribosomal RNA
Source: RNAcentral
CCUACGGGAGGCAGCAGUGAGGAAUAUUGGUCAAUGGGCGGGAGCCUGAACCAGCCAAGCCGCGUGAGGGAAGAAGGUACAGCGUAUCGUAAACCUCUUUUGUCAGGGAACAAAGGCGGGGACUAGUCCCCGGAUGAGGGUACCGGAAGAAAAAGCAUAGGCUAACCUCGUUCCAUCAGCCGCGGUAAUAUGGAGGAUGCGAGCGUUAUCCGGAUUUAUUGGGUUUAACGGGUGCGCAGGGGGCCUGUUAUGUUAGUGGUAAAAGCCCGGGUCUCAACUCCGGCGUGCCGUUGAAACUGGGGGGCUUGAGUUGGAGAGAGGUACGCGGAAUGCGCGGUGUAGCGGUGAAAUGCUUAGAUAUAGGGCAGAACCCCGAUGGCGAAGGCAGCGUACCGGUUCCACACUGACGCUGAGGCACGAAAGCGUGGGUAUCGAACAGGAUUAGAUACCCGUGUAGUC